GACACUUCAACUUGCUCUGCUCUCGGCUAGUUGAUUCACUUACUCACCCACUAACACUGAGCUCCUUUUCACUGUCUGUGGGCAAAAAAAAAAAAAAAAAAGAAAAAGCGAGAGAGCAGAGGAGAGCGAGCAGAGAAAAUAAAGCUCUAAAUCAGAUCAUUAUUCAGAUUUUUUUCUUAUUUUCCUUUUUUUCCCCCCCAACAUAUAUUGACUCGCACAGAUCUCUCCCCUCCUCCUCCAAAAGAAAAAAAUCAUCUGGGGGAGGGAGAGAAAGAGGAUUUUGCGUGCCUUUCUUCCUUCUUCCCCUGAUUUCUCUUCCUCCUGCUGCUCCUGCUGCAGCCCCGGCUCCUUGCAAAGCGGACCGAACAGGCGCUGAGACUUGGCUGGCUACCCUGCCUCCCUUCACUCUCCCUCGGCUCCUCCUGUUGUCUUAUUUUAUUUCUCACCUGAUCUAGAAGUCCCAGGAACGUGUGAAUUGGCGGCGGCCUUGGACUGACAGAGAGAAGGAGGCGGCGACGGCAGGCACCUGAUCCGUUGGGCGGGACCAACUGGCCUGAGGAACACUCCUUGCCAAUGGUGUCCAGAGAGUGACUCACAAGCUGCCAAGGAGCCUGUUCGUAAACACCGAGGCCCCAGAAAGGUGAAUCCUGAACCGUUCUUAAUGACCUUUCCCGGUGUGAUCACUGGGGUGACUUUUUCCACUUCUGUUCAAUUUGCCAAGGUUGUGGGAAGUUCAAGGGAGGGUUUCUGCCUCUCUCCAAGGGCUUCCAUAGAUACCUGUAUGCUAUAGGUGAAACCCCAGGCAGAGCUAUACUAUUCUGGCAUUGGGAAAGAAAAAAAACAAAACAACUCGUUUGUGAAGGGCUCCAUGCUGGGGAGCUCUGAGCAGGAUGUUCUACAAACAGCUUGUUGCUGUGAGGGCUAAAAUGCGUUCCCUUCCUCCUCUCACCUCGGAGCUCGGGAUGUGACCAGGGAUUGCCAAAGCUCCGGUUGGUAGGGGUUCCACAGGUUUUUCAGUAGCCUACACAUCCUGGUCAUCGAUGGAAAGAGCAGCCGAGUGAAUCCAAGCCCCUUAACAAUUUAUCACCCCUUCUCAAACAUCUGGAUUAGUUCUUGAAUCGUGAGUGUGGCGGGUUUUCCAAAUGGGUAGCUCUGUCGGGUAUAGGUGUUACAGGUCCAAAAGUGAUUUCGGAAAUGGGUUCUAAUCCAGAUCCGUCGCUUGUCUGUUAUGUGACCUUAAUUUAUCUGUGCCCCAGGUACCUUAUCUGUAAAAUGGGGGUUGAGACUGUGAGCCUCAUGCAGGACAUGGACCGUGUCCGAGCUGAUUAGCUUCUAUCUACCCCCAUUACUGUGACCCUCAGAGUCAGCCCUAAAUAGACGGGGGCACAAAAUGAUAGGAUCGAAAAGCUCAUUGUCGGCAGGGAACAGAUCUGUCAACUCUUUUAUAUGGUACUAUCCCAAGUGCUUAGUACAGUGCUCUGCACACAGUAAGAGUUCAGUAAAAACGCUUGAUUGGUUGACUUCUCCGUAGCUGGGACAUGUGUUGGGGCGGUUUCUGCGCCCCGAUUUCUUCCGACCACUGGAAUCACAGAAUCGCUAGGGGAGCGGUCAUCGGCUGAAGCAGGGGGUGCCUUGAGGAGGUGAAGUGGUGAUGGGGCAGGGGAGAAGAAGUGCCUCCACGUUUCUGAUGCGCCCAUUGCUUUCAGUGCCCCAGUAAGACCCCUAUUGGCCCUGCCGUUCUCUUCAUCCGUAGUUUGCCACUGUCUCUAGAGCCUGGGCUUCGGAGUCAGGGGUCAUGGGUUCGACUCCCGGCUCUGCCACUCGUCAGCUGUGUGACUGUGGGCAAGUCACUUCACUUCUCUGUGCCUCAGUUACCUCAUCUGG
Molecule: long non-coding RNA, 1884 nt
Filed under: Ornithorhynchus anatinus (platypus)
Lineage: Eukaryota; Metazoa; Chordata; Mammalia; Monotremata; Ornithorhynchidae
Description: lncRNA (ENSOANG00000048449.1)
Source: RNAcentral